UACGUAGGGUGCGAGCGUUGUCCGGAAUUAUUGGGCGUAAAGAGCUCGUAGGCGGUGUGUCACGUCGGCCGUGAAAACCUGCAGCUUAACUGUGGGCGUGCGGUCGAUACGGGCAUCACUGGAGUUCGGCAGGGGAGACUGGAAUUCCUGGUGUAGCGGUGAAAUGCGCAGAUAUCAGGAGGAACACCGGUGGCGAAGGCGGGUCUCUGGGCCGAUACUGACGCUGAGGAGCGAAAGCGUGGGGGAGCAAACAGG
RNAcentral lists this ribosomal RNA (255 nucleotides) under uncultured bacterium. RNAcentral describes it as "partial 16S ribosomal RNA". It matches the Rfam family "Bacterial small subunit ribosomal RNA", at positions 524 to 776 of the family's 1533-position model. The record is from RNAcentral.